GGUUGCUGCCUUUCCUUCAGGUGCAGGAAGACCCCAGUGUACUGGAACAAUAAAUUCCUCUUGCUUUUGCAUCGAUCCCUAGCUCCAAGUUGUUCACUGUGGCAGGGGUAGGGGUCCCAGGUAAGCUAAGGCUCGUUAGAGUCUUACAUUUGGUGCAUGGGCUGGGAAUUCGACCUCCUGUGAGGACACACCAGAGAGCCGUGAAUCAGAGGUCUCGAGCAGACCCACCUCACAGGUUCUGACUGUCGGGAAGAAAGAAGCACGGGAGGAGGGAUCCGGGCCUGAGAGAAGUCAAUCCUCCAAGACCCUUCGCCAGCGGAUCUGUUGCUCCAAGACCCUCCUCCUCCAUAUCACCCUUCCCUUUCCCCCAUGGCCCUGCCGGUGCUGGCUCCAGCUCUGGAAUCCUCAGCCCAUAUAGGACCAGGGCCAUUGUAUCCCACUUUACCGGAGGAAUGAACAGGAGGAGAACCCCAACUUCCCGGUCCUGCCAUGGGGACCCAAAGUCUGAGAGCCACCUCCCCUGAUACCACGGUGGCUCUCUUGCUGGGGACAUAUGGGCCUCUGGAAAAGGGCAAUCAGGCUAUGCAAUAUUGGCCCUUCUCUUUGGCUGACUUGUACAACUGGAAGGCCCAACCCCCCCCCCUUUCCCAAGGGGCAGAUUAAUGUCUUUGAGACUGUUUUAUUUACUCAUCAGCCCACCUAGGUGAUAUCCAACAACUCACGAGAGUACUCUUCAUGACCGAAGAGAGAGAAGAUAAUGCAGGAAGCUAGAAAGACAUGGGGGCACCAUCGAUUGACCAGGUUGUUGUCGACAGCGGGCUUUCUCUGACUAGACCUGAGUAGGACUUGUCUUAGUCAGGGUUUCUACUCCUGCACAAACAUCAUGACCAUGUUUUGGGGAAGCAAGCCAUUAAAGAACAUCCCUCCAUGGCCGCCUCUGCAUCAGCUCCUGUUUUCUGACCUGCUUGAGUUCCAGUCCUGACUUCCUUCAGUGAUGAACAGCAGUAUGGAAGUGUAAGCCGAAUAAACCCUUUCCUCCCCAA
RNAcentral lists this long non-coding RNA (1043 nucleotides) under Mus musculus (house mouse). RNAcentral describes it as "cDNA sequence BC049987". The record is from RNAcentral. Lineage: Eukaryota; Metazoa; Chordata; Mammalia; Rodentia; Muridae.